UGGUUAUUGUGGAGGCGUCACACCCGUUCCCUUUCCGAACACGGAAGUUAAGCCCUCUUACGCCGAUGAUACUGCGCCCCUAAGGCGCGGGAAAGUAGGUUGCCGCCAGGC
Molecule: ribosomal RNA, 111 nt
Filed under: Treponema sp.
Lineage: Bacteria; Pseudomonadati; Spirochaetota; Spirochaetia; Treponematales; Treponemataceae
Source: RNAcentral